This 1394-nucleotide long non-coding RNA is filed under the name Equus caballus (horse). RNAcentral describes it as "lncRNA (ENSECAG00000052613.1)". Lineage: Eukaryota; Metazoa; Chordata; Mammalia; Perissodactyla; Equidae. The record is from RNAcentral.
CAGAAUAACAGUCCGCCAAAGACGUCCACGCCCCGGUCCCCAGAACCUGGGACCGUGUUGGUUACACGGCUCAGAGGCCUUAGGCCGCAGCUCGAGUCGAGUUUCAGGUGUGGGACAUCACGGUUCGCUGUUUGUGUGCGCUGUGAAGCGAUCACCACAGUAAGUCUGAAAGCUGACAUCCCUCACGGACACGGUUAUAACACGUUCUGCUUUUUCCCUGUGGUGAGGACUUCAGGCUCUGCCCUCAGCUGCUUUUCCACAUGCGCUGCGGUGCUGUUCCCUGCAGCCACCGCGCUGGGCGUGACGCCCGGGACUCAGCGACCCAAGCAGCUGACCUCAUGGAGAGAUCACCCCGGACUCUCCAGGUGGGGCCAGUGUCAUCAGAAAGAGCCUGAAAAGCGGAAGAGGACGCAUAUCUGAUGUUACCCGUCGGUCACACCUCAGGAGGAAAAGCGGACGAGAACGGAGAGAGCCAGCGAGACGAAGACGGCCGGGUGACAAGGGAGGCCAGGGGCCCCGGGCCGCGUGCUGCGCUCUCAACAACCCCAGUGAGCAGGAGUCGGUGCCCCGGAGCCUUGGGACGGGAGCGCAGCCUGUGGCACCUCGGGCUAAGCUUUCGGGGACCCUGAGCAGAGAGGUGCCGAGCCCCCCGCACCUCCCACCCUUGGAAACUGUGCUGAUAGCUGGCUGCCAUGUUAGUACCACAUUGUGCUUGUUACACAGCAGCACGUUACAGCGGCAGAUGGAAAGCCCACAGCCAGUUCCCCAGGGCCAGUGGAGUCUGGUCUGGGUCACAGUGGGCUUCCUGAAAAAGCAGCCUUUGAGGUGAGACCCGUAGGAUGAACCUCGCCGACUUGGCAAAGGGCAGAGGCAGAGGGAACAGAAGGUGCAAGGGCCCUGAGGCAGGAGGAAAUCAGCUCAAGUGAGAAAAGGAAGGAAGCCCAGUGCGACUGGGAGGCAGACCCCGGGCACGUCGCUGCGCUCUCUGAGCCUCAGUUUCCUCCCCCGCGAGGUGGGAUUAUAGGAGCUUUCCCUCACUAUGAGGGUGAGACGGCCCUGCAAGCUGUGUAGCAAAGCAGCUGGAGACGUGGGCCCCACAGCCAGCCCAGACCGGGGCUCGAGCUCCAGGUCUUCUGCUUACUGCCUGGGUGACCGUGGGAGGCUGCAUCCCCUCUCUGAGCCUCAGUUUCCCUCUCUGCCAGGCUGCUGUCAGUCUUAGAUAAGAGCGUGUCAGUGGUGCUCAACAAAUGCUGGCUAUCAUUGUCAUCGUUUUCGUUAGGAGACGGGGACCCAAAGUCGGACAGGAACGUGCUCAGGGUCCCCCAGAGACUGGUGGGCGCACUGGGUAGAAACGAGUCUCCCGAUCCGGCCGUGGACCCCCCAGCUUCUCCGUC